RNAcentral lists this transfer RNA (70 nucleotides) under Dipodomys ordii (Ord's kangaroo rat). It matches the Rfam family "tRNA". Rfam says of the family: Transfer RNA (tRNA) molecules are approximately 80 nucleotides in length. Their secondary structure includes four short double-helical elements and three loops (D, anti-codon, and T loops). The record is from Rfam by way of RNAcentral. Lineage: Eukaryota; Metazoa; Chordata; Mammalia; Rodentia; Heteromyidae.
GGGAAUGUGGCUUAGUGGUAGAGUGCUUGCUUAGCACACAUGAAGUCCUGGGUUCGAUUCCUCAGUACCA